RNAcentral lists this ribosomal RNA (460 nucleotides) under uncultured bacterium. Its description in RNAcentral is "partial 16S ribosomal RNA". It matches the Rfam family "Bacterial small subunit ribosomal RNA", at positions 338 to 795 of the family's 1533-position model. The record is from RNAcentral.
CCUACGGGUGGCAGCAGUGAGGAAUAUUGGUCAAUGGACGGAAGCCUGAACCAGCCAUGCCGCGUGCAGGAAGACGGCUCUAUGAGUUGUAAACUGCUUUUGUACAAGGGUAAACCUGAACACGUGUAUUCAGCUGAAAGUACUGUACGAAUAAGGAUCGGCUAACUCCGUGCCAGCAGCCGCGGUAAUACGGAGGAUCCAAGCGUUAUCCGGAUUUAUUGGGUUUAAAGGGUGCGUAGGCGGGUUGUUAAGUUAGAGGUGAAAUGUUCGAGCUUAACUCGGGAAGUGCCACUAAUACUGGUGAUCUAGAGAGUAGAUGCGGUAGGCGGAAUGUAUGGUGUAGCGGUGAAAUGCUUAGAGAUCAUGCAGAACACCGAUUGCGAAGGCAGCUGACCAAUCUAUAUCUGACGUUGAGGCACGAAAGCGUGGGGAGCAAACAGGAUUAGAUACCCGUGUAGUC